UAGGUGCUUAAUUUCUUUUUGAUGAUGAAUUAUAAAGUAUUCAUUUCAUGGCUAAAUAAAGGUUUUGAUUCACCAUAUACCAUGUCCCACAACAAAGCAGAAGAAGAGAUAACUGUGGCUGGAUGCGUAGAACCUCCACCCAUGCGCAUGCUUAAUCCCUCCCUUAUUUUCUCAUCCGAUUUGCUAACCUGCGCCAACUUCCAUCAAAACUCACUCCUCGAAAACUACAAAACAAAUCCAAAUUGUACUCCAUUAAAGAAGAGAAUUAAUUUAAUGGGUUAAUUAUAUUUCAUCAUCUUCAUCUUCAUCUAUCUAUACAUGGAUCCCCAAUCCUCUCUCCACAUAAUCCCGUUUCUCCUCUCUCCUCAAAACCUUAGGGUUCUUCAUCAAUUAAUCCUUUAAUAAUGGAUCAGGGGUUUUGUCUAGUGGCCAUGGUUUAUCACUUUCUCUCUUCUCCCAGUAAACCCAUCAAAACAACUUUGUUCUUUCACCACUAACUUAGCUGCAGAGGUAUGACUUGCAGCCGCAUGAUUUCUCGAGGAAUUAAUGUUGUUUCUUUAGGGCCAUUUACGGAUUAUGCUUUGAAUUUUUCAUUAUGUGCAGGAUGUAUUUGUGUUUGAUUUACGGUCAUGUUGCUGCAGUUGCCAUGGCAUGUUGGAAAUUUGGAAUGUUUUGCAGUUGGCAUGCCAUGUUGCUGAUGGUUUAGCAUUCUUAAUUCGUUCGCUAGAAUUUUUAGGGGACAUAUUAAAACAAUUCUUACCUUGGUAAUUCUAAUGGAAGGUAGAGAUGUAUUUGUUCAUUUUUGAUUCAUAGUAAAUACAUAACUUAUAGAUCAUUGUCCAUAUAUAUAUAUAUCUUUUACUUUUGUGUUUGGACACGAGAGAACACAAAGGAACUGAUACGAGGAAUCCCACUACAUGGAUCAAUUUUAUCCAUAAAAUUAGGUCAAUCAGACAGUUUAUUCCAACCUGUUUAAUAAUUUAAUCCAUAAGAUUAGG
RNAcentral lists this long non-coding RNA (998 nucleotides) under Panax ginseng (ginseng). RNAcentral describes it as "long non-coding RNA (PGIN_LNC000903)". Lineage: Eukaryota; Viridiplantae; Streptophyta; Magnoliopsida; Apiales; Araliaceae. The record is from RNAcentral.